GGCAGAACAGUGGCAGUUCUGGGCUGGUUCUGUUGCUGAGCCCUUUAUGGAUGCUGGUGGGCAAAGUUGUGUUUAUUCUAUUUAGGUGCUACUGUAGGAUGACUCAGGCCUGGUGCCUGUGGCUGGAAAGCUUGAGUGAGUAUAACAAAGUGCUAAGUCUGAGCCUGCAUGUAGACACAUCAGUUGCGCUCUUUGGUGGUUUUACUUGAUUCUUUUGUGAAUCAGUCUUUGGGGACCAUAACACACAAGUUGUGACUACUUGCAUGUAGGGCUACUGUAAGGAGAUAGAUUUUUAUUUUGGCAGGGAUUUCUCUUAUCUAAUACUGUGAUAAUGUGUGAUGGUAUGUUUGAGAACCAACUUGUAGCUUCAGCAUCCUGCUUCCUCCUGGCUUUAAUAUGAGGAUUCUUGAGUAGAUGAUAAAUCACAUGAGUUUUCUACCUAAUGUUACUAUGUCUGGGAAACUUGGAUCCUUCCUAGCCAUCCUACAAUGUGAAGAUUUAACUCAGAAAUCGUGAGCUAUUGUCUCAUACCUGAGGUCAAUGUUGUGCUACAUUUUACUUCUGUGUUUUCCCUGGAUACAGGCUGUCUAAAAAAGAACAGUUCACCAAUAUGUCUUUUGGAUUUUGCUGUGGCAGGAGUUCUAGACUUCACCUAACCCCUAUUUUCUUUCCAAGGUACUGUCUUUUGUGUACAGCAAUCAGAGUAGUUGGGAGAAUAAUGUUCAUUUCCUGUUAAUAGCCAGUUAAUGGCUGGGACUUCAUAACUCUGGAGAACUUUGUGACCUUAAAAAUGUCUCAAAAUGUCCUGCUGACCUUACUUGUUUGAUGGGCAGAUUCUUUGAUUGUGUCUUUGGAGAAUGGAUCAGGCUUCCUUCUUUCCCCCAAAUGGCAUCUGAAUAAUUACUUUGGAGAGAGAAAUGUUAGUGAAAAGGCUUUAACUCUAGACAAAUACUGAAAAGAUGGUAAAUGAUACUGAAAAAGUGGUUAAAUUUCACGUGAUUAAAAGCAAAUAGGGCAAAACCUUUGUGGUCCAGUAGAAUAAGGCACAAAACCAAUUGGUCAGGAAAAUCUUGAUCUUCCUAUUCUUUUCUUUUUGAAGUUCUGGAACAGCCUAAACCGAGUAAUUGGCUUUUCUUACCUCUUCUUUGCAAGAACCAUUCAUUAUAAACGCACAUCUGAGAUGCAAAUGUUUGGCUCAGGGGACAGAAUUGUGCUGUAUUGUCUAUAUCUCCUGUGGCUACAAAGAGACAUGAGAACAUUGCUCAAUAAUCGGCCCAUUAACGAGGCCGCCAGUCACAUCCUGAAAAUGAAGAUCAUCCCUCUUGCUCAUGUAAAGCUGUUUUUGAUUAAAGUGUGUGCAAAAUAUCAAAACAGAUACUUGAUGAUACAACUUUAUAGCUGGAGUUGAGGUUUGUGACUAUGAAUAGCUAUGUAUUUUAGUCUUUAAAUCUAUGCACCUGUUUUUGCAGUAUUCCAUCUGCACUGGAUGUGGAUGAGGCUAGAAAGGCUUUUAAUCACUUGAGCUGGCACCAGCUAAGUUCUUACAGAUGGGGUGGGUUGGUAUUCACCACUGACCACAAAAUCAGUGCCUCAUCAGAAGAAUAAGCAGGAAAUGAUCCCAAACAAUAAUCUUCCCCUUUUGAACUUAGAAGAUAAUUUCCUUGUUUAAAUGUGGGUUUAAAUUCAGGUCUGAUUAUUGUCUGGGAACUCAAACAUUGCAGAAUUGUGGUGUUUUCUUCUAAUUCUGGUUUUCUCUGAAUGACAAUUCAUAAAGUUGUCUUUGACUGUUCCAUCACAUCAGUAUUGGAGUGUUUGGUCUCAUACUAGUCUUGUCUGACUUGUAGUCAGUGGCAGAGUGUAACAGAGGGAGCUUUGAUAUGACCUUUGGGAAAAUUCCCAUGUUUAACACCAGAUGAGCACUCCUGAGAGGUCAUGCAGAAGGCUAAUUGCUUAAACUACAAUGUGCUUCUCUUUGGCCAGUUUGUUUUUCCAGAGGGAGGGAGAUGGGGAAGGUUCUUCCAAUUUCCUGGUUGGCAAAUACUGUUUGUUUUUACGCUGGAAUGUUUUUCAUCCUGGUCAGUGCAUUUUCCAAGAGGAAAGGUUCUGUGUUUUUGAGAACUGCACCUGGCUGCUUAGGAUUUGAUGUUGCAUUCAGAUCAUCGAGCACUGAAAGUGAAGAAGACAUCUGUGCUGUAGCAGGCUGUUGAAGAAACUUAAUGGCUUUUCCUUUACAUGAAAGCAAGCCCCUGCCCCUCAUACAUUUCCAUGGCACUUUGGAGCAGCAGCUCUGAUUCCUAUCCAUUCUCCAGGGUUCCAGAACCAGGGCACUGUUGAAUUCUUGGUGUGGUGUGACAGAGUCUCUUAAUGAGAAACUUUCUUUUCUAAACAAUUUAACUAAGGGAAGAGGUGCUAUUCCAUUAACCACUUCCUUAGGCAUUUUGAAUUGAAGGCAUUAAAAUAGUCUGUGGCUUUGUAGAUCCAGCCUUAACGGAGGGAAGGAAAUCUUGUUUUCCAAAAUCCACAUCCUAAAGCCAGUUUGAGCAGCAGGAAAACUUCAGCCUGACUUGACAUUUUGUUCUGCAUUGAGUUUUUUGUCAUUAGCUCUCGCUGCAGGUUUUAACCCAUUCAUUUUAAAAGGUAGAUUCUGUUCCCCCCUACUUUAGUGUUCAUAAAGUAAUCCAAGGGGUGUAAGCAGCUCAGCUCCAACUAUGGUGGCCAGUUUCUCCUUCCUAUAAAACAUGCCCAAAUACCCAGUAGUGGAUCAAGAGUACACUUGACAUCUUGGUAUUGAGAGAAUUUUUAGUAUAUCCAUUAGCCUUUUAUUAAUGAAAAUGUGUUUCCUUUUUAGAAACUAUUCAAGUUUAGAAUAAAUAAUGCUUCUACCAUAGCAAAUGUCUUCAGAACUCUGUUUAGUUAAUUGUCAGGUUUAAAUUUUCUGAUGGCCUUAAACAUACCUGUAUAUAUGUCUUUGCAGUUCUUUCACUCCACGUUUCAAUCCAAUUUGGUCCAUGGCUUAUGUAAGCAGUUGAAAAAUAAAUCUAUUUAAAUG
Molecule: long non-coding RNA, 3049 nt
Filed under: Strigops habroptila (Kakapo)
Lineage: Eukaryota; Metazoa; Chordata; Aves; Psittaciformes; Psittacidae
Description: lncRNA (ENSSHBG00005001838.1)
Source: RNAcentral